Molecule: ribosomal RNA, 265 nt
Filed under: uncultured bacterium
Lineage: Bacteria
Description: partial 16S ribosomal RNA
Rfam family: Bacterial small subunit ribosomal RNA
Source: RNAcentral
UUCGAGUGGCGGACGGGUGAGUAACGCGUGGGUAACCUGCCUUACACAGGGGGAUAACACCUGGAAACAGGUGCUAAUACCGCAUAAGCGCACAGGGCCGCAUGGCCCGGUGUGAAAAACUCCGGUGGUGUAAGAUGGACCCGCGUCUGAUUAGCUUGUUGGCGGGGUAGGGGCCCACCAAGGCGACGAUCAGUAGCCGGCCUGAGAGGGUGGACCGGCCACAUUGGGACUGAGACACGGCCCAAACUCCUACGGAAGGCAGCAG